UUAGUGACUUUGAACUAUGCAAGACAGUAUGAUUAACUCUUGUCACCUUGAUGUACAUGCCAUCCCCAGACAUUUAUUUUAUAGUUGGAAGUUUGUACGUUUUGAUUCCCUUCACCCAUUUCAUCCACCUCCACCCCUGCCUCUUGCACCCACUGGUUUGUUCUCUAUUUCUCCUCUUUUGCUGCCCAUUCGACACUCACACUCCCUCCUGGGAAAUGCUGCUCCAUGUGUUGUCUGAGGAUCCGCUGUUCCUGCUGCCUCUCUGAUAAGAUCGGGAACCACUGAGGCAGCCCCAGCCUGGCUAGAAGUAAACCAGUCCUUCGCCCCAAGAGGGAGAGGAGGCCCCGGUGCUCCGGUCGUGCUCACAGGCACCAGCUGCUGCCCAUUCAGGUCCUUGACCAUCAGGGCACGAUUUUGGCGCAGCCAGGCCCGCAAUCCUUGCCAAACUCCGUGUUGAAAGAACUUGAGACUUUUAAGUCGUGUGACUUCUUUGGCAGAAGAGAUUCCAAGCCGAGGAAACGGUCGGCAGAGCUCUUGCUCAAAACCGUGCGCUUGUCUCAGAUACACAUUUGAGCUCCAUGGACUGUUUUAUUCCUUUAAGGAAAAGAGACGUGUAUUAUUUUUGGAGACUAUUUUAAGCCCUGCAACAAAGCGAAAAGCCGAAGAAUCUGGCCUCUUGUGAAGGAUCAAACUUACAUUAAAAACAAAAACAAAAACAAAAAACAAACCCACAAACUUUGCCAGCUUCCUAUUCCAAUUGCUCAGACCUUUUCAUAUAGGAUUAGGACUGUUUGAUUUUGGAAUGGAAAAUUAUUUUACCCUUCCCCCCAUUAUUUCCCUGAACCUUCAUCAUAGCAUACCAUUUAUGACAUAGGCAGGAAAUGAAUGCUGUCCAUCCUGUUUUAAAAAAUGAAAGAUGCUUUAGGAUUAAUUGUCAAGGACAGAGCUCUCUCUUGUAAUCUGGAAGAAUAUUAAGCAAUUUAGCCAAUUCUUUUCCCUGAAUGUAUUUGUUUUUCAUAAAUUCUAGGAUAAUUUGAAUUAGAAAUAAA
Molecule: long non-coding RNA, 1049 nt
Organism: Phacochoerus africanus (Common warthog)
Lineage: Eukaryota; Metazoa; Chordata; Mammalia; Artiodactyla; Suidae
Exons: 4
Source: RefSeq, a predicted model, not a curated record